GACGAACGCUGGCGGCGUGCUUAACACAUGCAAGUCGAACGGAAAGGCCCUUCUUUGGUGGGGGGCUGGAGUGGCAAGCGGGUUGGUAACCUUUCAGUACCCUGCCCUUGACUUGGGACUAACUUCAGGAAACUGGGUGUAAUCCCGGAUCGAUCCUCAUGCAGCCUGGGGGGGCUUGGAAAGUUUGGGUGGUUGGGUAUGAAUUACGGGAUUAUCAGCUUGUGGGUGGGGUGGGGAGUUACCAGGGCUUUGACGGCUAGGAGGCAUGGGGGGGUGACCGGCCACAGUGGGACUGAGAUAGUGACCAGACUCCUACGGGAGGCAGCAGUGGGGAAUAUUGCACAAUGGGCGGAACCCUGAUGCAGCAACGACGCGUGCGGGAUGACGGCCUUCGGGUUGUAAACCGCUUUCGCCUGGGACGAAGCGUGAGUGACGGUAAUGGGUAAAGAAGCAACGGCUAACUACGUG
This 468-nucleotide ribosomal RNA is filed under the name uncultured bacterium. Its description in RNAcentral is "partial 16S ribosomal RNA". It matches the Rfam family "Bacterial small subunit ribosomal RNA", at positions 28 to 507 of the family's 1533-position model. The record is from RNAcentral.